RNAcentral lists this long non-coding RNA (390 nucleotides) under Struthio camelus australis. Its description in RNAcentral is "lncRNA (ENSSCUG00000005266.1)". The record is from RNAcentral. Lineage: Eukaryota; Metazoa; Chordata; Aves; Struthioniformes; Struthionidae.
AGGAGAUGAUGCCUAUGUGAAUCAUGCUUGCCAAGCCGGUGUAUUGCCAGAAAAGAUAUGUGGCUUUCUGGCCUGCCACAGUUGUGACCACCCCGCUUUCAGCACUGGUUUGACCUGACUUUAGAGACCACUUGAGAUGGACAUGCAAUGGGGCAUAUGGGGAAUGUCCCUAGGUGGAUGUCUCUGGGCCUGUCUGCUGUGCCUCUGCCACAACACACAAGUCUUUUUCAGGGUUAUAAAGCUGCCACAUCAAUUAUACUGGAACACCUUUUCAGUUAAAAUGUAGGUGAGACCAUCUGCAGCAGUGUCCUGUGUGCUCAUGACAAGGAUUGCUCAGUGCAGAACGCUGGGGAGGACUUCCCAGCUUCAGUGACGUUGCAUUAAAAAGAG